Medicago truncatula (barrel medic) is the source of this 1020-nucleotide long non-coding RNA. RefSeq lists it as uncharacterized. The transcript has 2 exons. Lineage: Eukaryota; Viridiplantae; Streptophyta; Magnoliopsida; Fabales; Fabaceae. The record is from RefSeq and is a predicted model, not a curated record.
AAUAUGGAAAAACAAAAAGAAAGUGUUAAUAUUAUAGUAUAUCCAACUAUAAUCUACAUAUUUAUUUUAGAUUAGUGAUAUUUGGUACAACUUUUGUGACAACUUCUUUUUUCUCUCUUUUCAUUGGUUAAAAACAAUGGAGAGAAAAAAUUGUGACAUACUGAUUGUACAAAUAUCAUUUCUCUUUGUUUUAUACUCCCUUUGUUUCACAAUGAAUGUUUGAAGGCUUGAAGUUUCAUUUACCUAUUAAACGCACACUGCAAUGUUGAAACACUGUUUGAAAGGUAUGAUAUCUUUACGCAUCUUGCUUACUUCCAACGUGUAAUUUUAAUUCGAUCUGAGUUGAUAUUCUUUUUGAUUUUAUAUGAGUUAAUUUUUUGUAAUUUAUUUUUGUAGUAGGAUUUGAUCCGCACACAUUUUCCAACAUAGACAAAUAUGUUAACACCAUGAAUAUUAGUAGCAAAUGAAGAGUUUUUUGGACACACAUGAUUUAACAAAUCAUGUAAUUUAAACAGAUGUCUUGGUAUGACAAUAUAAGUUGUUAAUUUAUUGUUUUUAGUGUUUGUAUGUUUUUAACAAGUAAUUGAGAAUGAGAGUACACUUGAACGCGAAGGCUGAGAAUUUCUAAGAAAACAGGUAUAAAGGUAGCGAAGCAAGGACCGUUGAUUGAAAUUUAAAUGUUGUUAUUGUCAAGGUAAGGGAAAGGUCGCUCCAUUUUUUUAUUUUAUAUAUGUAUUUACUUGUUGUUAAAAUGAUGACGUUUUUGUCAUGUUUAUGUAUUGUAACAUGCUUACUUACUACGUGAACUUGCUUUUGGAUUGCUUGGUUGUGAGUAUAAUUUUUUAUUUUCAUGCCUGGAUUGUAGUCUCACAUGCGUUCAAAGUUAAGAUCAGCUAGGGUGUGUUUUGGGUAGUGAAAGGCCAGUGACUAUGUUCUUAGGAAUUUUGUAUUUUGAAGUAAAACGAUUCUAAUUUACUAUUUUGAAAAUUCAAAGAGAAACUCAUUUAUUUUUAUUUUGAA